GACGAACGCUGGCGGCGUGCUUAACACAUGCAGGUCGAACGGAAAAGCCCUGCUUUUGUGGGGUGUUCGAGUGGCGCACGGGUGUGUAACACGUGAGUAAGCUGCCCUUGACUUUGGGACAACUUCAGGAAACUGGUGCUAAUACCUGAUAGGAGCUGCAGCAGCAUGGUGGGGGUUGGAAAGUAUAGGCGGUUGGGGAUGGACGCGCGGCUUAUCAGCUUGUUGGUUGGGUAGAGGCUUACCAAGGGAUUGCCGGAUCGUCGGCCUGAGAGGGUGACCCGCCACAUUGCGACUGAGAUACGGCCCAGGUUCCAACAGGAGGCAGCUGUGGAGAAUAUUACACAAGGGGGGGAAGCCUGUGGAGGAUACGCUCGGAGCGAGAUGAAGGCUUAGUUGUUAUAAACCGCUGUAGCCUGUGACGAAGCGUGUGUGACGGUAAUAGUUGAAGAAGCACCGGCUAACUACGUG
RNAcentral lists this ribosomal RNA (468 nucleotides) under uncultured bacterium. Its description in RNAcentral is "partial 16S ribosomal RNA". It matches the Rfam family "Bacterial small subunit ribosomal RNA", at positions 28 to 507 of the family's 1533-position model. The record is from RNAcentral.